AGUAUCAGUAACAUAAAACCUUAUUUGGUUUCGGACGCACAGUCCGCAGGGGUGCCGUCCACUGACAAUCUCCUCUCUGGCCUCUUCAAUCUCUCCCCUUCCACUGGCUCAUUCUUGCUGCCUACCAAGCGUGUCCUAUUUUUCUGACCAACAGUUAGGAGAAAAUUACAAGCGUGGAUAAGACAACGUGGAAGAAAAGCAGACAGACAGGACAGAGGACUGGAAAGAGAAAGACAUGGAUGCUGGACAUCGGGACUCUUCCACGUGGCACGAAGCCUCUCUCUUCACAUUUAUAGACCAUGGUUUUGAAAUAUCCGCCUCCCACUCAUCAUCUCUUUCCUCGCCCCAAACUCACUUAUCAGCAAGCUGAGUGAAUUCUGCCCCUGAGUCUCUCAAAGCCGCCUGGCAAGCAGUGGCUUCCCAAUGUCUUUAUCCAACCAGCCCCCUUUGGCUGAAACUAGACUCCUUUGCCCCAGAGGACCCGGCUCCUCCCUGAUUCCUGGCCCUCUUUGCUAUCUUGGCUUCUGAGAUACAGUCCCCUCCUGGACCUCCUCCUAAUGCCACCACUUCCUCAAGCUUCUGUCUCCUCCAGCUCCUCCUCUUCUACUCAGAAUCCCACUUCCAAGCUCCUUUGAUUCAGUCUAACAUCACUCCCCAGAGCAAUGCCAUCCAGCCCGGUGCUCCCAACAAGAACUCCAGGAAGGCCAACUUCAGAACAGCCCCCACAUCCCUCCCGCGUUCAGGAAUCCCAUCGCUUCCUGCCGCAAACCUGAACUCAUCAUCGGCUCUCCCCGGGCUUCCUCCCACCCCCGACGUCCUUGUUUUUGCAAUGGGUGAUACCCUCCAGCUGGUCACCUGUGAUAAACACGUAGGGAAACACCUGCUACCUCAUCUUCUCCCACCAUCUCUAUGGCUAUUCGGUGCCAGUAUCUCUCAUCCCUACAGGCCCCUACGUUUCCAAUGGAGUGAGUUGUGCAAGGUCCUGUCAAGAUCAUCUACAGGUCCCACAAUCUCCAAUCUCCGCUGCCAAGGGCAUGGAUCUCUCCAGAAAAGCAUCCCUGACUGACACAGCUGCAGAGCCGUGUCCCAGGCCCAAUGCUCCUCCAACCAGGAGAACUCCUCCAUGGCUCCCCGUGGGGUUGGGCAGAAGCUAGUCUAGGAGUGACUCAGAGCUGGGUCCCUCAUCCUUCUUCUGAAAGCACAGCCCCCGGUGAUCAUUUGAACAAACAUCCUGGCCCCAGGCUGGGUCUCCGGGGAACUCACGCUAAGAUAACUAGUGUUAAGUCCAUGUUUCUGGUUCCUCUGCCUUUAGCUCUGGUCACUGCCAUACCCAUAACUGGCUGUGCCACCUGACUUCCCUCGUAAUUGACUCGUCAGGGACACUGAGACCAAAUUAAACACGUUCUAAGGGUCUAACGGAAAAAAAGAUGAAGACAUUAGAAAGAUGUACAAAACUAGAUUACCAAUAACCACUACAAGAUUUAGCAUGUUCAACUCCACUAGAGCCAAAAUUGAAAUACGAUUUUCUAUCUAGCAAAUUAGCAGAUUUAUCUGUAAUAUUAUUACAUCUUUAUUAUGUUAUAUAAAGCUAGUGGGAACAUUUAUUCCUGCACUCCAGAUACGUGUUGUUUUCAGCCAAUACAUUUGUGGUAAUUUAUUACAACAGUAAUAGAAAACUAAUAGAGAGAAGGGAUAAAUGUUUGCUGUUUUAAGUCACUAAGUUUUGGGGGUAAUUUAAGAGCAGAAGAUAACUAAUACAUGCAUCAGGAGAGAAGCCAAACUCAAAAAGCUACAUAUGGAAUUCUGCUAUUUAUGUAAAUUCUAGAAAAGGCAAAACUUUAGGGACAGGGAAAAAAAAAAAAUCAGGGGUUCCCGUCGUGGCGCAGUGGUUAACGAAUCCGACUAGGAACCAUGAGGUUGCGGGUUCGAUCCCUGGCCUUGCUCAGUGGGUUAAGGAUCCAGUGUUGCUGUGAGCUGUGGUGUAGGUUGCAGACGCGGCUCAGAUCCCGCGUUGCUGUGGCUCUGGCGUAGACUGGUGGCUACAGCUCCGAUUGGACCCCUAGCCUGGGAACCUCCAUAUGCCGUGGGAGCAGCCCUAGAAAAGACAAAAAGACCAAAAAAAAAAACCAAACUAAUCCAUUAUCAUUGCUGCUGAAGCUCUGGUUCGAUCACUGGCCCAGGGACUUCUUCACACCGAGGGCCCACCCCCACCCCUAAAGGAGGAGGACAACAAGAGUGUGCUGUGUGCUUCUGACGGCACGGAGCACACCCCGGACGGCCGCUCGGCCGCUGUAAGUGCACGUGAACCACACCAACCUGGCCGCAGCCACCUCUGCAUCUCCGCAAAGCCCCUAGCACAGGUGAUUAACACGGAAGGGCUGCAUCUAGCCGAAACUCAAGCAACACUUGAUGCCCACGUUCUGGGGCCUUCCAAUCGCCACCAAGGCACCAAGCUCCCAGGAUCCCAUCUGCACCCUCUACAAACACCCACAGUCCAUCUCAACAGUGCCGGCCACCCUCAGUGCUCGACAGUAACUGCAACAACCCAACUCCAGGACGUCUCGUCUCAAGCGUCCCUUGUCAAGGGACCAUCAGCUCUCGAGGCACAGCAUCUCCCAGGAGCCGGGCCUUCAGUUCCUUCAGGGAUGUGCCCACUCCUACAUAUCGUGACAUUUUCAACUGCAGGAGACAGUCUGAAUGGACAUAGGCUGCUUCUGCCGGAGACAAUAACUGUUGUCCGUGAGAAGAGAGGUCCUUGUUUGCCCAGGGUGUUGCAUGUGGUAAGACGGAAGCCUUAUGUAUGCAUGCACUCAAAUGCAAACAUCUGAGUCAAUGCUACUUUCCCAGUGACAUCAGGAUAAGCCAUUAUACAGCCAAAUUUUUACAAUAUAUCAAAGAUGGCAGAAGAACACGGAGAAAAGUGGAUUUGUUCUAGUUGAUCAACAGCACUUCUUUUGCUUUGGAGACAAGACCGGUGCACUGUGACUCAAGGAACCUAAGAGUCAGACACACAGUUUCCCCUGUGAGAGGUAAGUAGGGCAUUUUAAAAGAGCCUGUGAGGAGGUCUCUUGUGGUGCAGUGGACUGAAGAUCCGGUGUUGUCACUGCAGUGGCUCGAGUCACUGCGGUGGUGGGGGUUCCACCCUUGCUCCUGAACUUCCACAUGCCACAAGCACAGCUCAAAGACUAAUUAACCAAGUACUUAAUUAAAUAAAAUAUGCUCCUAGGAGCAACAGCCACCAUCAUGGGGUCAUUUACAACGAAGGUUGGUAAAGUGAACCAUAACACGCUCCCCCAAAACGAGACGGACCCUUACAGGUUAAAUAAACACCCCGCAGAAUGUUAGCACAAGUGUAACUUUGGGGGGAUUCCCGUUCAGACACAGCAAAAGAGUGAGCUAAGUGGAAUGUUAUGAACAGGGAAAUACGUUCCAAUUUCUCCUUGAAACAGGAUGUCACACCAUCUGAGGGCACUUCUCAAGUGAGUUGCAAGAAUUUGUACUACUUGGAAACACUCUGAAACUCAACAGAAAGGGCUUAAGGACCCCAAAUCCCCAAAGUAACUGUUUUUCACAGUCUUAGCUGGUAUUCAUUGGUCCUUUUUCUCCCAGAAAAGGAAGAGGAAGAAAAUGAUUAUAGAAUUUCGAGGUGGCCCCUGCUUCAAUAACUAGGGCUGGUUUAUCUUGAACUCCUGGAUGGGAGCCUAAACCUGAAAGAGGCAUUCUCUUCUAGAGCCGCCCCGAGCCAGGGAAGGUUCCUGACACAUGCGUAAUCCAUCAACCGCAUCUGCCCCACAUGCAGCGUGCAACGCCACUGGAAAAACUCUGGGUGAUCUUACGUGGUACGCAGGCAAUUUUCAACAAUGCUUAUUUGCUGUAAGGGACUGGAAAAAUAUAUUAGCAUCUCAAACUCACAAUGAAAAUAAUGGUAAAAGGAAAGGAUAAUACCCGCCUGGUCUGAUAGCCGUGAGAACUCGAGGAAAAAUGGAAAAUGCCCCGAGAGAGUCAGUGCCUAAAAAACAGUCCAUUUUCUUUUCUCAGCAGCCUGUUCCCUGGAUCUUGGGCUAUACUUUGCGGACACGACAUCCAUCGAUAAUUCAGAUAUAAAAUGUGUAUAUAAUUGUCUCCCACAUUUAUGAAAUGCCUAUAUAUUGCUUCCCAUGUCCUUAUUCACUAUCUCUGCGAGGUAAGAUCCUGAAGAAACACGCAAAGAAAUAAAGCUGGUUGUGACCGUCCAGCGUCUGUGCUGCUCAAUUUUAAAGGACCACAUCCUUCAAGCACAUGAGGACACGAUCAAAUAUUAAAAUAACAAUUAAUGCAGAGCGGAUUCUGCUGUCAAGAUAACCCAGCCACACUUGUUGUUGUUGUUUUAAGUUGGAAAAGAGAAAAUGAGCUGAACCCAUCAGCAGGAAAAGAGCAGAGGGCUGGCUGUAUUCCCAGGAGAACACUAGGAAUUUUUCAUUUCAUGCACCAUUUACAACUUCUUACAGUGAAUUCCAGAACAUCAGUACAUGUAUGUGCCUAACGGAAAACAGAAACACUCAGGUUUCACCAUUCCCUUCAAUUUCCGCCUCGGGUCCGCUAUCUUGUGUUUUCCCACCCUCCCUAUGACGUGCAGUCCCAGCAGCAAGAUCUCACCCUCACUGAUGCUGAGUGGGGGCAGGAGGAACACAGGAAUGUGCCCACACCUUCUUCCAGGAGGGCUUUAUAGGAAAAAAAAAAAAAAUCGAUGUGAUAAUUAAGCCGCCAACAGCACGUAAACCAACAGACGCGUGGCCUCAGAUGCAGGGCUGACUCUGCUGUGAGCGUCCCCUUGUCUCCAUGGCUCUCCUGACCUCUCCGCUUAGGACUGUACUGCCCUGUGCUCAGCUCCUGGUGACAUUUAAUAAAAUGGACAAUUGGUGAUAAGCACAAGAAAGAUAGGAGGCUGGGGGCGCAAGAAUAUAAGCUCAUAACCUGGUCACCUCACAGGAACACAGCUCCCGCGGUGACUGGAAAAUGCCAAUUAACCCAAGUCCCUCUUGGCAAAUUCCCAUUCGUUCCGUUGCCAAAUGAAUCAUGGUCACGUCCUUCAGAAAUGCACUUGGGAUGUGGACGGAGUCUUGGGAGGCGAAACUGGAGUUUAGCAAACUCUACAAGGAGCCCAGAGACUAUAGUAGCCACAGCCAUAAAUCAAGGGGGACCUGGUCGACGGGGAGGGCUGGGGGAUGGCAAUAGGGGAGGAGAGCCACAGCUGCCCACGGACAAGGAGAGAAAGUCCGAAUCGUGGACAAGGCAGCUGGGAGGGCUGAAUCUGCCUCUGGUCACCGCUGCUCCCACACCCAGCACCGUGCCUGACAUAAAACAGACGUUUGCUGAACUACUGAAUCCCUACCAAUUAAGUAAGAU
This 5385-nucleotide long non-coding RNA is filed under the name Sus scrofa (pig). Its description in RNAcentral is "lncRNA (ENSSSCG00025042340.1)". Lineage: Eukaryota; Metazoa; Chordata; Mammalia; Artiodactyla; Suidae. The record is from RNAcentral.